GACGUAGGGCGCGAGCGUUGUCCGGAUUUAUUGGGCGUAAAGAGCUCGUAGGCGGUUUGUCGCGUCUGCUGUGAAAACUCGGGGCUUAACUCCGGGCCUGCAGUGGGUACGGGCAGACUAGAGUGCGGUAGGGGAGACUGGAAUUCCUGGUGUAGCGGUGAAAUGCGCAGAUAUCAGGAGGAACACCGGUGGCGAAGGCGGGUCUCUGGGACGGUACUGACGCUGAGACGCGAAAGCGUGGGGAGCGAACAGG
RNAcentral lists this ribosomal RNA (253 nucleotides) under uncultured bacterium. Its description in RNAcentral is "partial 16S ribosomal RNA". It matches the Rfam family "Bacterial small subunit ribosomal RNA", at positions 524 to 776 of the family's 1533-position model. The record is from RNAcentral.